AACAUCUGGAUGGUUUUUUUGUUUGUGCUGGAAUUUCCUUCUCUUCUCUUCCACCAGGCUAUGGACUCUGGAAGAGAGAGGUUGACUUCAUGCAACUCUGCAGCUCUUCAACCCAAUUCACAUUGGAGACAAGAUCUUGCCCCAUGAUGUUGCUAAUCCUCUUUGAAGACAAAGGAUGAACAACAACCAUUAGGUAUCAGGUGCUAUGGCAGGUGGCUGGGAAUACAAACAUAAUGAAUGAAAGAACCCUGGCUCACAAAGUGCUUACUUACAUCCUAAUGGAAGAAGAAAGUCCAUGUAUAAGUAAGAAUAUAAAGGAUAACUAUAAAGAGAAUAAAUAUGAAGCAAUUCAGUUGAAGGGAAUUAAGGAGGAAGAAAAAACUAUACAUUUUGUGAGAUGGAAAUCAAAAAAAGCUUCACAGAGAAGGUCGUGUUUGGGCUGCAUUUUGAAGAAAGAAAGAGGUUCUCUAAGGCAGAGACAAGCUAGUCCAGACUUUGAACCAGCUAGUUCUUCUGACCUCUCCCAUCCCAUUCUAGCAAAUUAUCCUGCCAAUUAUGGUUUUCUCUGGUAGUCUUCAGGGACUCUCCACUUGAUCCAAGUCUAUCAGCAUUUCUGUCAACUUUAUUGCCAUGCCCAAAAUAGUGACCCAGCUUCUCCUCCCUCCAUAGUAUGGUUCUUCCUUACCUUGAUCCAAUUUGCUAAGUUGUGGAAACAGACAAAUUGAGUGUAAAGGCCACUGCUGGGGUUAGCACAUGAAGAAGACUGAGUCAUAAUGACACCUUGAACCCAGCUAGGAUCAGUUCUUUGGCAACUGGGAAUUAAAGUUUGAAAGUGUGUAAUUAUGAUCUGCUCCCCAGAAACUCUCUCUCCCAGCAUUCCAUGUUCCUUCUCACGUUAUGUGCUAACGUAGGGAGGAUAUAAGUUUUGUGUACCCCACCUCUCGAUCUCUUCUCCCCUGAUCAUGCUGGCUUUUUGCCAGGCAGGUGAAUCUAUACAUGUGGG
This 1003-nucleotide long non-coding RNA is filed under the name Monodelphis domestica (gray short-tailed opossum). Its description in RNAcentral is "lncRNA (ENSMODG00000030782.2)". The record is from RNAcentral. Lineage: Eukaryota; Metazoa; Chordata; Mammalia; Didelphimorphia; Didelphidae.